GCCGGGCACGGUGGCGCGUGCCUGUAGUCCUAGCUACUCGGGAGGCUGAGGUGGGAGGAUCACUUGAGCCCAGGAGUUCUGGGCUGUAGUGCGAUAUGCCGAUCGGGUGUCCACACUAAGUUUGGCAUCAAUAUGGUGACCUCUUGGGAGCGGAGGACCACCAGGUUGCCUAAGGAGGGGUGAACUGACCCAGGUCGGAAACAGAGCAGGUCAGAACUCCUGUGCAAUUGAUCAGUAGUGGGAGCACGCCUGUGAAUAACCACUGCACUCCAGCCUGGGCAACAUAGUGAGACCCCGUCUCU
RNAcentral lists this signal recognition particle RNA (302 nucleotides) under Aotus nancymaae (Ma's night monkey). RNAcentral describes it as "Metazoan signal recognition particle RNA (ENSANAG00000008982.1)". It matches the Rfam family "Metazoan signal recognition particle RNA". Rfam says of the family: The signal recognition particle (SRP) is a universally conserved ribonucleoprotein. Lineage: Eukaryota; Metazoa; Chordata; Mammalia; Primates; Aotidae. The record is from RNAcentral.